Molecule: ribosomal RNA, 218 nt
Filed under: uncultured bacterium
Lineage: Bacteria
Description: partial 16S ribosomal RNA
Rfam family: Bacterial small subunit ribosomal RNA
Source: RNAcentral
UGCUUCGGAAUCUGCCCUUCAGUGGGGAAUAACCAGUCGAAAGAUUGGCUAAUACCGCAUACGAACUACGGUUGAAAGCAGGGGAUCGCAAGACCUUGCGCUGAUGGAUGAGCCGAAGUCGGAUUAGCUUGUUGGUGGGGUAACGGCCUACCAAGGCGACGAUCCGUAGCUGGUCUGAGAGGACGACCAGCCACACUGGGACUGAGACACGGCCCAGA